UACGUAGGGUGCGAGCGUUAAUCGGAAUUACUGGGCGUAAAGCGUGCGCAGGCGGUUCGCCAAGUCAGGUGUGAAAUCCCCGGGCUUAACCUGGGAAUUGCGCUUGAAACUAGCGGGCUUGAGUGUGGCAGAGGGGGGUGGAAUUCCACGUGUAGCAGUGAAAUGCGUAGAGAUCAUGAGGAAGACCAGUGGCGAAGGCGGGUCUCUGGACAGUUCCUGACACUGAGGCACGAAGGCCAGGGGAGCAAACGGG
This 253-nucleotide ribosomal RNA is filed under the name uncultured bacterium. RNAcentral's name for it is "partial 16S ribosomal RNA". It matches the Rfam family "Bacterial small subunit ribosomal RNA", at positions 524 to 776 of the family's 1533-position model. The record is from RNAcentral.